UCAUCUAUGCCAGUAACCCAUUAACCUCUUGGUGAUCCCUGCCCGUAAUGCAGUGUGAAAUGACCACGAAUUCUGAUCCGUGAAGAAUGCUCUCUAAAUAUUAUGGUUUAUGUCGAAAGAAAAUUCAGGCGUUUUAACAGAAUCCACCAUCGAGGUAUUUUCUGAAGUUCAAAUUUCAGCUUCUACAGAGAUGAGAGUUUUAGCUCAAAGUCAGAAAUUUAAGCAGAUCAGUAACUGAACUGACUUUUUUUUCCUGUGAGUUUUCAGGGACUGAUCUACAAAAUGAGCUAUGUCUUUACUUCAGUCUCUGAGGAGUCAAUGCUUUAACACUAUAGGGUGGCAUCUGUAGACUCCUGCAGCCAGUUUGAAAUCCCACUCAGAAGUUGGUGUACAGUAUCCUUUUGCUUGUUUUCUUACAGUGCACAGUGAGAACAUUAAAAGAACGCAUGUCAUGGAGACAAGUAUCUCUCAGUGUUCCUCAGGACCAGAAACAUUGCAACUCAAUCCUGGUGAUCUACAGUUACUGUAAUACUGGCCGGUGUAUGUCUUUUUGACUGGAAAUAUACACCUUAUUGCCUUUUCAUGCCAGACACAGAAUUUUGUAUGUGACCAAAUCUCAAAUCGCCCUCAUCUUGAGUUUCUUGUUGAAAUUUUAUGUAGCAAAUAUCUGGUAAAAAUACAAUGACUCAUAUAUAUCCCAUCACCACAAUGAU
Cryptotermes secundus is the source of this 713-nucleotide long non-coding RNA. RefSeq lists it as uncharacterized. The record is from RefSeq and is a predicted model, not a curated record. Lineage: Eukaryota; Metazoa; Arthropoda; Insecta; Blattodea; Kalotermitidae. The transcript has 3 exons.